AAAAACAUCUCUAAUAGAAAAUAAUUAUUAGUAAAACUCUGCACAAUGAUAAUUAAAUUGCCGCAAUUUAUGUGCAAAGGUAGCAUAAUCAUUUGCCUCUUAAUUAGAGGCUAGAAUGAAAGGUUUAACACUUUAAAUUCUGUAAUCUUUAGAAUCUUUUAAAUUUUUAUAUAAAUAAAAACAUUUAUUUUCCUCAGGGGGACGACAAGACCCUAUUGAACUUUACAUUUAUGUUUUUCUGGGGUGGAAAUAAAACUAAAUCUUUUUUCUUUUUUUUCAAAAAACAACAAAACUUUAACUCUAAACAAGUUACCAUAGGGAUAACAGCACAAUUUUUUCUUACAGACCGUAUUUAAGAAAAAGUUUAUGACCUCGAUGUUGAAUUAUUUUUCUUUUUUGAAGCAAAAAUCUUUAAAGAAAGUCUGUUCGACUUUUAAAUAUUUACAUGAUCUGAGU
Molecule: ribosomal RNA, 456 nt
Filed under: Titanidiops maroccanus
Lineage: Eukaryota; Metazoa; Arthropoda; Arachnida; Araneae; Idiopidae
Description: partial 16S ribosomal RNA
Rfam family: Archaeal large subunit ribosomal RNA
Source: RNAcentral